CAUUUCCUAAUAAUCUUCUCAACUAUUUUACUUUCAGUAUCCUUUUUAUUUUAACUUUCAGCUUUCCUUGCUGCUUCAAUCAUCUCCAGUAAUAUUUAAGAUCUCUGAUAGCUAAUGGUAAAUCUGAGAACAUUUUCUGGAUUUGAGCCAAUCAUAAUAUCUUUAAAUAAUAUUUAUAUAUUGCAAGCUUGCCAGCUACUUGCCAGGGCAUAACAAAAGAUAAAUAUACACUCCUCUACUACCACCACUAAAAGAAGCCAAGUCAUCUGACUGCUAGUGACCUAAUUUUUGCAUAGCUGUUUGUAAUUCUCAUCAUCAUGUUAUGGCGAUAUAAUUUAUUAAUCCUUCUGGCAUUUUUCUCCUUGACAGCUUCUCAGUUGCUGUUACAUUCUACUUGGAUGGCACUUCUUCCUGCUGCCUUGUAAAGAAGGUGCCUU
RNAcentral lists this long non-coding RNA (437 nucleotides) under Callithrix jacchus (white-tufted-ear marmoset). Its description in RNAcentral is "lncRNA (ENSCJAG00000083727.1)". The record is from RNAcentral. Lineage: Eukaryota; Metazoa; Chordata; Mammalia; Primates; Cebidae.